RNAcentral lists this non-coding RNA (21 nucleotides) under Arabidopsis thaliana (thale cress). The record is from RNAcentral. Lineage: Eukaryota; Viridiplantae; Streptophyta; Magnoliopsida; Brassicales; Brassicaceae.
GCGUCUGUAGUCCAACGGUUA